RNAcentral lists this ribosomal RNA (158 nucleotides) under uncultured bacterium. Its description in RNAcentral is "partial 16S ribosomal RNA". It matches the Rfam family "Bacterial small subunit ribosomal RNA", at positions 355 to 509 of the family's 1533-position model. The record is from RNAcentral.
UGAGGAAUAUUGGUCAAUGGGCGGAAGCCUGAACCAACCAAGUCGCGUGAGGGAAGAAGGCCCUGCGGGUCGCAGACCUCUUUGGACGGGGAGCAAGGCCGCCGACGUGUCGGCGGAAGGAGAGUACCCGUAGAACAAGCAUCGGCUAACUCCGUGCC